RNAcentral lists this ribosomal RNA (372 nucleotides) under uncultured bacterium. RNAcentral describes it as "bacterial SSU rRNA". It matches the Rfam family "Bacterial small subunit ribosomal RNA", at positions 527 to 896 of the family's 1533-position model. The record is from RNAcentral.
AGAGGGUGCGAGCGUUGUUCGGAAUUACUGGGCGUAAAGCGCGCGCAGGCGGCCUUUUAAGUCUGACGGUGAAAUGCCGGGGCUCAACCCCGUGCCCGCCGGAGAUACUGGGAGGCUGGAGACGAGUAGAGGCAAGCGGAAUUCCGGGUGUAGCGGUGGAAUGCGUAGAGAUCCGGAAGAACACCGGAGGCGAAGGCGGCUUGCUGGGCUCUGUCUGACGCUGAGGCGCGAAAGCGUGGGGAGCGAACAGGAUUAGAUACCCUGGUAGUCCACGCCGUAAACGAUGGGCACUAGACGCGGGUGGGAUCGACCCCUUCCGUGUCGCAGCUAACGCGAUAAGUGCCCCGCCUGGGGAGUACGGCCGCAAGGCUG